UCGCUACAAGCUUAUUGCAUCGGCACGUGUGACAUGUUUGUGUUGCACUCUCCUCUCCUCCCGCCCCACUUCGCACUGCCCGGCGUCCCGCUGUCUUCGACCUUCCAUGAGCGAUCACCUGUAAGCUCGAUCCAUUCACUGCUCUGCUGAUCUGCUACUUGUCGAUAUCUUAGCUGCAGACGAUAGCAAUUGAUGCACGUCCAUCCUCAAUUAAGCCCUUCCAUGGUCAAAUUCCAUCAAUCUCAAUAGGAUUGGAUCCACCAGGGAGAAGCUAUAUUCUACUUUACUGAUUACCGCUUCAAAAGUGCUACAAAGUUAUUGGUUGAAUGAGAUGGCCGAUGCAGCAGUUGGCAAGGGUCACUCUUAUGGUGAGAUCAAUAGCAUGCAGAAAAAUGCAUUUGAUUUAGGAGUCUUUGUUGGAGAUUUGAGUUUUGAGGAGGACGCAAGCAGUGAUGAUGUCUCAUUGGAAGGACUGCAAGAAGAACUAGAAGAAUGUAAAAAUGAUGAUGUAAGUGGCAUUUUCUUUGUUGAUUCAUUUGCCAAGUUUUGAUAUGAAAGGUACAAUGAGAAGAGAAGAUGUCCUCGUGAAAACAAAAUGAAAAGUUACAUUUGAUUACAAUAGAGCUGCCCUCCAAACCCUUUGCACGUUGGGCAGUGACAACCUCCAAAAUACCUGAACAAACGGGACCCAUCCUAUAGAAAAGGAGAGGUUGUGCAAUUCUUGCAAGUCUCAAAUUCCUCUCAAUCCACAGGGUCCACCGGAUAGCAAAAUGCGUGCAGCUCCAUAAAGCUCUUCUCUUUUUGUUUUUGCCAAAACUCCAUUAUCUCACUUGCAGGAAAUCUCCCACCACCCGAGGAGCCACCCAAGCUGCACAAAAACAAGAGAAAAAGAGAACUUUGAUGAUAGUUUGCCACCUUACAAUGAAGGAACAGGUGUGCAUUUGUAAUUUGGGAAACAAACUUCCAGGUGCUUGCGUGAGAGGCAAUGCAAUUGAGCUAGAACUUAGUUAAAUGUGAAGAAUGUCUUCCUACAUGGUGAUCUUUGGGAGGAAGUCUAUAUGAGCAAUUGGUUUUGUUGCCUAGGGGGAGUCAUGAUUAGUGUGUCAGCUCAAGAAAUCCUUGUAUGAUUUGAAGCAAUCUCCUAGAGCAUGUUUGGUUGAUUUAGUGCUGUUGUACUUGAGUUUGGCCUUGUGUGCUGCAUAUCACAUUGUAUUUUAUUGUCACAUUGUGGCACUGUCUGUGGUAGGAUUUUCCUCAUUGUGUAUGUGGAUGAUAUUGUGAUUACUAGUGAGGAUGAUUGAGGUAUUCGACCC
RNA transcript from Malania oleifera, 1313 nucleotides. It is a transcript of the gene named vacuolar protein sorting-associated protein 52 A-like, with no coding region annotated. Lineage: Eukaryota; Viridiplantae; Streptophyta; Magnoliopsida; Santalales; Ximeniaceae. The record is from RefSeq and is a predicted model, not a curated record. The transcript has 5 exons.